RNA transcript from Dendronephthya gigantea, 1694 nucleotides. RefSeq lists it as uncharacterized. The transcript is spliced from 6 exons. NCBI's taxonomy places the organism in Eukaryota, Metazoa, Cnidaria, Anthozoa, Malacalcyonacea, Nephtheidae. The record is from RefSeq and is a predicted model, not a curated record.
UACUGUCCGCAGAUGUUGUACAAAUCAGCCUUGGAUCUUACCAGUCGCAACUGAUAUAAAGCUUGUCUCCAUUUAGCAAUAAAAAAUAUGUUGUUAUUCGUCUGUUUUUUAAUUUCUUUUCUCAAUUUCGGCAAUUGUGAAGUCAAAGAGAGCUAUUCUUGUCCAACAGGGAAAAACAAGCAAUUCAUCAAAGUAUCUCAAGAUGGCUUGGCAGAAGUGAAUCCUUUCGAAAAAACUACAGUGACCUCGCGAAUAUCAUGUUCUUUCGACUGUUCUCACAAUAUUUUAUGUUGGUCGUUUGUUUUCUUGAAACAAAAGACGAUUGAGAACUGUUUAUUGAGCACAGAUCCAAAUGGAGGGUCUAGCACCGAAGAUAGCGAGACGUUCAAAAUCACAGUGAAAUAUCCACGCUACGAUCAGACGACGACUAACUGCCAGAGAGGUGGAAAAACUGUGAUAUGUUCUGAAGAGCACGAUGUAUGUGAAUGUCCACCGUGGGCUGAAGGAAACAAUUGCGAGAACCUAAAUAUGGCCUACAAUCUUGACCUACUUCCCUGGAAGAAAGGUGAUGGAUAUAACUUAAAAACUGUUGAUAUUUCCUUUACCGAGACGUGGUGUACUAACAGCUUUGAUCAAAUUUACCAUCUUCAAAAUGGUAAAUGGGAACAAGUAUUUGGAUUACUCCAAAAAGUAUCUGUCGGAGAAAAUGGAUUUUGGGGGACAAAUUCAAUCCAGCAUAUUGUCGCAAGACUCGGGAUAACGGCGUCAGAACCCAAAGGAACACAAUGGUACCAUGACACAAGCGGUCUACUUAGUCAAGUUACUUCUGGCCGUCCAGGUAUACUUUGGGGAGUCAAUGUGUAUAAUCAACUCUAUUAUAAGCAAAAAAGUGGUACUUGGUCACUUAUCGGUGUAUAUUAUAUAUGGGUGUCAUGUGGAAAAUUUGGCUGUUGGGCAAUCGUAAGAGGCAACGGACAUGCAUAUUUCAGAACUGGCGUGACCACAGAUGUUCCUGGAGGGGUUUCGUGGGUGGACACUGGUGGGACAUUUACACAACUGGACACCGGAGUGCGAGGGGAUGUGUACGCUGUGGACGGUGGCGGACAACUGUAUACACGUGAAGGUAUAAGUGAAGACCUUCCCUAUGGACGAAAAUGGUCAAAAUUUGGAAACUUUUUGCUCAGUCAUGUUAGCGUUGGUGCUAAAAGUGUAAUCGGAAUACACAACAAGUUAUUCUACACGAUGGACACGCCAUAGAGAGAAUCUCUGUGAAGAUAAAUUUUUGCACAAAAAAGAAGAUACUUUCGAAAACAGUAAGCUGCAUGCAGUAUAUUCAAUACUUAUUUCCAGCAUGCACCAUAAGGUAGCCCACGGGUAAAAAAAUCAUCUAUUGGCCACUUGUGUUCCAAAUUGAAUGAGCCAAAUUUUAAUCGAUGGGUAUAACUUGGGCUGCAUGCAUAUAAAUUUUGAGUUAUUUCUUCUUUUGAGCGACAGAUGUAAUCAAAGAUAUUCACUUUGAUGAACACACGAUAGUAUUGGAACCGAAUGUGAGCAAUUAGUAUUUAACGAACAAAAUCUAUUAUCUCACAAUUUGCACUGUAGCAAUGCCCAUUCUGAAAAAUGGAAGACUUUAGAGAAAGUGUUGAAAAGAGUCAGUAAUCGUUUCCUCAACAGGAACAUUAACGUUCCUCCUU